AGGGGAAGAGGAUGAGAUGAAGAAGACAGUAGUAGGAGAAGAGGAGGAGGUGGAGACAGUAGGGGAAGAGGAUGAGAUGAAGAAGACAGUAGUAGGAGAAGAGGAGGAGGUGGAGACAGUAGGGGAAGAGGAUGAGAUGGGGAGGUGAAGACAGUAGUAGGAGAUGGAGAUGGGAGGUGGAGACAGUAGGAGAAGAGGGGGAGAUGUGAGGUGGAGACAGUAGGAGAAGAGAAGGAGAUGGGAGGUGGAGACAGUAGGAGAAGAGAAGGAGAUGGGAGGUAGAGACAGUAGGAGAAGAGGAGGA
Molecule: long non-coding RNA, 304 nt
Organism: Oncorhynchus tshawytscha (Chinook salmon)
Lineage: Eukaryota; Metazoa; Chordata; Actinopteri; Salmoniformes; Salmonidae
Source: Ensembl